GUAGGGAAUAUUGGGCAAUGGAGGCAACUCUGACCCAGCCAUGCCGCGUGCAGGAAGACGGUCCUCUGGAUUGUAAACUGCUUUUGAAUGGGAAGAACAUACGGUUUGCGAACCGUACUGACGGUACUAUUAGAAUAAGCACCGGCUAACUCCGUGCCAGCAGCCGCGGUAAUACGGAGGGUGCAAGCGUUAUCCGGAUUUAUUGGGUUUAAAGGGUGCGUAGGCGGCCUUAUAAGUCGGUGGUUAAAGGUAGCAGCUUAACUGUUUUACAUGCCAUCGAUACUGUAGGGCUUGAGUGAUUUGGAGGUAGCUAGAAUUCCCUGUGUAGCGGUGAAAUGCAUAGAUACGGGGAGGACUACCGAUUGCGAAGGCAUGUUACUACGAAUUAACUGACGCUGAGGCACGAAAGCGUGGGGAUCAAACAGGAUUAGAAACCCGAGUAGUCC
Molecule: ribosomal RNA, 446 nt
Filed under: uncultured bacterium
Lineage: Bacteria
Description: partial 16S ribosomal RNA
Rfam family: Bacterial small subunit ribosomal RNA
Source: RNAcentral